GAGUUUGAUCCUGGCUCAGGAUGAACGCUAGCGGCAGGCCUAACACAUGCCAAGUCGAACGGUAACAGGGAGAAGCUUGCUUUUCCGCUGACGAGUGGCGCACGGGUGCGUAACGCGUAUACAAUCUACCUUUUACAGAGGGAUAGCCCAGAGAAAUUUGGAUUAACACCUCAUAGUAUGUUGAAGUGGCAUCACUACAACAUUAAAAUUUCGGUGGUAAGAGAUGAGUAUGCGUUCUAUUAGCUAGUAGGUAGGGUAAAGGCUUACCUAGGCAACGAUAGAUAGGGGCCCUGAGAGGGGGAUCCCCCACACUGGUACUGAGACACGGACCAGACUCCUACGGGAGGCAGCAGUGAGGAAUAUUGGACAAUGGGCGCAAGCCUGAUCCAGCCAUGCCGCGUGCAGGAAGACUGCCCUAUGGGUUGUAAACUGCUUUUAUACAGGAAGAAACAGCUCUACGUGUAGAGCCUUGACGGUACUGUAAGAAUAAGGAUCGGCUAACUCCGUGCCAGCAGCCGCGGUAAUACGGAGGAUCCAAGCGUUAUCCGGAAUCAUUGGGUUUAAAGGGUCCGUAGGUGGAUAAUUUAGUCAGAGGUGAAAUCCUGCAGCUCAACUGUAGAAUUGCCUUUGAUACUGGUUAUCUUGAGUUAUUAUGAANUAGUUAGAAUAUGUAGUGUAGCGGUGAAAUGCAUAGAUAUUACNUAGAAUACCNAUUGCGAAGGCAGAUUACU
This 731-nucleotide ribosomal RNA is filed under the name uncultured bacterium. Its description in RNAcentral is "bacterial SSU rRNA". It matches the Rfam family "Bacterial small subunit ribosomal RNA", at positions 9 to 730 of the family's 1533-position model. The record is from RNAcentral.